GGAUUGUGAUGUUACUUUGAUACUAUAUUGCGGUCGUGGUGUUUAGGUAGCAAUACACAGUUAGGAGUUUAGUUUCGCAUUAUGGCCCCUGUGGAUUUUUCAAAUAGGAAAGUUAUUGUGUAAUAAAAUUCAUUUUUAGACAGCUGAGUGCUAAUUUAGCCUUCAAAGAUGGUUUAUAAGAGCAUCAAGAUUAUUUUUUACAUGUUUUAUGGGCUGUUUUCUGUUUGACAAUCCGUAUUUUCAUAGCUAGACCGGCCAUUGGUCCAGAAAUUAGUGUAAUGUUUACAAACACUUUUUUUCUACACGAAGUUUUUG
This 315-nucleotide long non-coding RNA is filed under the name Mytilus galloprovincialis (Mediterranean mussel). The record is from RNAcentral. Lineage: Eukaryota; Metazoa; Mollusca; Bivalvia; Mytilida; Mytilidae.